UCUCUGAAAUUCUCUUAAAACAAAAAGCCAAUGCCUUUAUUAUAUUCGUCUCCAAUUCUUUUUUACCCGCCACCACCAACCGCUCCAACGACCAUACGCCACUUCCCUCCUCAACGCCUCGCCACGUGUCCUUCAUCCUCUCUACGGCGCCGUUUCGCCUCCGAACCAAACCCCCUUCCACUCCACUCUGCCGAGGUUUUCAGAAACCCCAAUUGGCAAUGCAAUGCAAGCCGUCUUCCUCCGUAUCAAUGUCGGCCGAGGAGCAGUCCACUUCGACCUCCCAGAGGGGUGAUCAACUGCAGGGUGGUUUGUUGUAUUCAAGGGCGUUCUGGGUUAGUGAAUCCAUUAUUGCCUGGAAUGUGGAUGUUUGAAAUGGUUCCUGCUACUUAUUUGCUAGUAAAACUGCUGCUUUAUCUUGUUCGAGUGAUGGAAUUAUAGGUGAGGAUAUAUAAGUAAAGCUUGAAGAAGGUAAACACGGGCUUCCGGAAAAUGUAAGAUGUUAUGUUAUCUGUAGAAGCAGUUUCAUGGAGCCUCUUAUUGCUGUUUUUCUCAAUGUAACUUUUGAAGAAGUUUUGAAACUUCUUCGAACUGGCACAUGUAUAAAAUGAUUUUUGUUAGGUGAAAGAAAAAUUUCUACCUAUCAAA
Malus domestica (apple) is the source of this 645-nucleotide long non-coding RNA. RefSeq lists it as uncharacterized. NCBI's taxonomy places the organism in Eukaryota, Viridiplantae, Streptophyta, Magnoliopsida, Rosales, Rosaceae. The record is from RefSeq and is a predicted model, not a curated record.